This 425-nucleotide ribosomal RNA is filed under the name uncultured bacterium. RNAcentral's name for it is "partial 16S ribosomal RNA". It matches the Rfam family "Bacterial small subunit ribosomal RNA", at positions 354 to 796 of the family's 1533-position model. The record is from RNAcentral.
GUGGGGAAUCUUAGACAAUGGGCGCAAGCCUGAUCUAGCCAUGCCGCGUGAGUGAUGAAGGCCCUAGGGUUGUAAAGCUCUUUCAGCUGGGAAGAUAAUGACUGUACCAGCAGAAGAAGCCCCGGCUAACUCCGUGCCAGCAGCCGCGGUAAUACGGAGGGGGCUAGCGUUGUUCGGAAUUACUGGGCGUAAAGCGCACGUAGGCGGACCGGAAAGUCAGAGGUGAAAUCCCAGGGCUCAACCUUGGAACUGCCUUUGAAACUCCUGGUCUUGAGGUCGAGAGAGGUGAGUGGAAUUCCGAGUGUAGAGGUGAAAUUCGUAGAUAUUCGGAGGAACACCAGUGGCGAAGGCGGCUCACUGGCUCGAUACUGACGCUGAGGUGCGAAAGCGUGGGGAGCAAACAGGAUUAGAAACCCGAGUAGUCC